Molecule: small nuclear RNA, 186 nt
Organism: Zalophus californianus (California sea lion)
Lineage: Eukaryota; Metazoa; Chordata; Mammalia; Carnivora; Otariidae
Gene: U2
Rfam family: U2 spliceosomal RNA
About the family: U2 is a small nuclear RNA (snRNA) component of the spliceosome (involved in pre-mRNA splicing).
Source: Ensembl
AUCACUUCUUGGCCUUUUGGCUAAGAUCAAGUGUAGUAUCUGUUCUUAUCAGCUUAAUAUCUGAUAUGUGCUCUGAGGACAAUAUAUUAAGUUGGAUUUUUGGAACAGGGAGAUGGAAUAGGAGCUUGCUCCUUCCACUCCACGUAUCGACCUGGUAUUGCAGUACUUCUAGGAAGUAGAAGUAGU